RNAcentral lists this ribosomal RNA (423 nucleotides) under uncultured bacterium. RNAcentral's name for it is "bacterial SSU rRNA". It matches the Rfam family "Bacterial small subunit ribosomal RNA", at positions 354 to 774 of the family's 1533-position model. The record is from RNAcentral.
GUGAGGAAUAUUGGUCAAUGGGUGCAAGCCUGAACCAGCCAUCCCGCGUGAAGGACGACUGCCCUAUGGGUUGUAAGCUUCUUUUGUAUAGGGAUAAACCUACCCUCGUGAGGGUAGCUGAAGGUACUAUACGAAUAAGCACCGGCUAACUCCGUGCCAGCAGCCGCGGUAAUACGGAGGGUGCAAGCGUUAUCCGGAUUUAUUGGGUUUAAAGGGUCCGUAGGCGGACUUAUAAGUCAGUGGUGAAAGCCUGUCGCUUAACGAUAGAACUGCCAUUGAUACUGUAAGUCUUGAGUAUAUUUGAGGUAGCUGGAAUAAGUAGUGUAGCGGUGAAAUGCAUAGAUAUUACUUAGAACACCAAUUGCGAAGGCAGGUUACCAAGAUAUAACUGACGCUGAGGGACGAAAGCGUGGGGAGCGAACA